AGGAUGAGUUCUCCUGUUUGGUCUGUAUCAAUUGGUGCUUUCAUUGAGAGCCCAAAUGGCUCGGAGUGGUGGCCGGGCAACGAACUCGCUGUGACCAACGAGUGCGUUUGGGACCGCUCGGAGUGGUGAACAGGCAAAGAAUCCACCGAGACCAACGUGGCCGUGACCAAUGAGAACUCGGAGUGGUGGCCUGGUGACCCACGGAGUGGUGAACGGGCAAAGAAUCCGCCGUGACCAAUGAGAACUCGGAGUGGUGGUGAACAGGCAAAGAAUCCACCGAGACCAACGUGGCCGUGACCAAUGAGAACUCGGAGUGGUGGCCUGGUGACCCACGGAGUGGUGAACGGGCAAAGAAUCCGCCGUGACCAAUGAGAACUCGGAGUGGUGGCCUGGCAAAGAACCAGCCGUGACCAACGACCAACGAGACGUUGGCCCUUAAAGGAGGGUCGAAUGUUACUGACUCAAUUCCCACAUCGGUUGUGAGAGCUCUCUCUCCUAAUAGGCUGGUCUUUUGGCUCUCUCUCCUAACAUGCUAGUCUUUUGGGAUGAGUUCUCCUGUUUGGUCUGUCUCAGUUUAUCAUACAAAAAGUGCGUCUCAUUGCAAAGUUGGAAUAAUAAUUCUUUAAAGAGAAAAUUAUUUCACACAAACAUUUUUUCUAUAUCCUUUUAUUUUCACAUUGUAGUGUAAAUAAGAUAGAGAAGUGAUGAAUAAUGACUAUAUAACUUUUGAAUAUUAAACCAAAACACAUUUCACAAUUUUUUUCACUAAUUAAGUAAUCAAGUUUGAAAAUUAAAUAAGGAAAGUUAGUAAAUUUACUAGUCGAGGAUCGGACUAUAUUCAGCCGAAAAUAAAACCAAAGCCUAUUUCAUUGUCGGGGACAAAAAUCAAUAUUCAGGGUUACUCUAGCAAUUAUUUAGAGUAUUAGGGCUCAAUAAUUAAUAUCCAAGUUUACAGGGAGCCUUUUGCAAUUUGUCCGGAGUCCGUGUCGACUUCUUUCAAUGCAUAUUUUCUCAGUAACAAUUCAUCAAACAUCUUGCUCACUACGAGCCCUCUUUCGUCGACUCGAUUUCGAUCUACCAUACGAUGAUCACCGAUAGAAGUUACAAUGAAAGAGAGGAAGACUCACGUUCCAAUGCAUUGAAGCCCUCCGCUAACCCUUCGCAAUUGGGGUAAUUUAUCUUUAUCUAGCUGCUGAAUUUUCAUUUAGAUAAAGUUUGUUAGUGGCGGGAUCCAUUUCGCAUGUUCGAUAAUAGCGCAGAUGAUCAUGUCUUUUACUCAGGUUAGGUAGUGAUAUUUGAAAUGAUUACAAUUGUCAGGCCGAUUUGAAUGGAUCGUAGGGUUGUUAUGCCUCUACGUUCAGAUGAUAUGAUUUGUUUUUCGAGUAUAUUCAUACUUUAAUUGUUUUUUCUUUUGAUGUGUGAUAGUGACUCUUCUCCACAUACACACACACUGGCACACAUGUAUUUAUGGUGAUUGUGUGGUAGUAAGAUAAUAGUAUGAUGUUAGUAUGUAUCUUUUCCCCAGAUGUUGUGCCAGUAAUGGUGUUAGCUUUUCUGUGUUCACUUUUAAUUUAAAUCUUAAUCUGGAAAAUGCCAUGCUUGGGUAUGAUAUCCCCCACUCACACCAUAACUCUAUUGCUAUCUAUCGUUCAAAAACUUGGCUAUAGUUAUGAACUUCUUCCUCGGGAAAUGCAUAGAUAUGUCAUCCUGUGGCUUGGCUGUUUCCCAUGUAGAUUUUCAACCACCAAUUGUUGCAUAAGUGAACAUCUUUUGCUUUUGUUAUGUUGAAUACUUUGAAUAGUAAUUACAUUACUAGUUUGAGGGAGUGUGAAAGGGAAACUGAUACUUAUAGUAUACAUCCCCAGAAUAGUAGUAAUACAUCAUUUUGUGAUGGAUGGUGCUAUGUAAAAUCUCAUUUGGUUUAAUGCUGAAGUGAUAUGCUCUUAUGAUUAUUAUUAUUAUUAUUAUUAUUAUUAUUAUUAUUAUUAUUAUUAUUAUUAUUAUUAUCAAGUUUCAUAUAACAAACAAGUUAUGACCGUAAUGAAUUUUAACAAAAGAGAAUGUAAACGGCAUGUCUUAGAAGCGUUUACUCUUCACGCAUUUGAAUUCUGCUACUCAUGAGCGCUUCCACAUCAUAGUCAUGUUAUCAUUCCUCAUUUGUUUCCUAUUAACUCUCCAGCCACUAAAUUUUAGUAUGUCCAAUACUUUUCAUGUGCUAUUCAUUGAUACAAAUAAAUAGUCACUGCAUAAUAGAAAGUCGCAAUAAUAUAUGAGUGAAGGACCUUUGGGAAUGUCAUUUGUGGACGUAAUGAAAUGACCAACCUUGUUAUAUUUUGUAUUCCUCUUCUCUCUACUAAAUCAAAUCUUGGCAUCAAAUGUGCAUUUUUGAAUUUGGAUUCUGCAUCAAAUUUGUGCCUACUGUGUUCAUUUUUUAUAUCAAACCUUGCUGGGUUAACCAAAUCAAAGUUUCUUUUUUAAAAUCAAGAAAUCAUUCAACUACCUAUUCUGCAUGAAAUUUGUGCCUAAUGUGUUAAUUUUUGUAAAUUGCAGUAUGCAUAAAAUUGAUCAUUUACUGUUUCUGUAAUUGCAUGAAAUUUUGGCCAUGCUUAGUAGAAUUAUGAGCCUCUUUUAUCAAAGUAGGCUGGAGUGAACACAAUCUGUUCUCAUGAUUUCCACUAAUGAUGGUGUUGUUGUGUCACAGUUCCUUCAUUGAGCAUCUUACCUGAAUCAAGCGACUCUGAACCGUAGUGGUAGCUAUUUUUAUUGUUUCGUUAUAUAUGGUUUAUGUUGUUUCAUUAUAUAUGGUUUAUGUAAUUAUAGUGUUUAAGUUUAUGCUAUUUCCCUUCCUUCCUGCGUAACAUAAAGCUAAAAAAAUGAUUAAGUAGUUGAAAGCUACUAAACAAGUGAAAUUCUCUGUAGUCGGCUCGAAGAAUGCAGUGUUAAUUUUUGGGUUGAGCGGAAUAUAAGUUAAAAGAUGGAGUCACCACCUGAUGUUAUGAAUGUUCUUGCAACUUCGGAAAACCAUAUUGGUCUUCUUUGGAAGAGGUGCAAAUCCCUGCACAAGAAGUGGCCGUGGCCAUUCCAGUCUCGAUUUCAAGGCAUGAAAGUGAUUACUUGGCGACAACAGAUGAUGGAUUGAGGAAGAUGCUAACCCAAGUUUUCAUUGACAGUGCAAUUUUGAGGAAACAAGCGGAUUUCAUUAUCUGCUGUGGUUUAGAUACGGCAUACAUCUCCCGAUAGUACCCAAACAGGGAAAGAGGAUGCGCUUUCCCAAAAAACUGAGUUUUUCAACAUAUGAUGUAAUCAAGACUCUCUGUGAAUAGAUUCAUCCACUCCACAAUGGAAGUAGAUUGCAGGUGCAUAUGCAUUUGUAUUUGCCAUUAAUUUUACUUAAUGAAAGCUGACUGGAUGAUGCCAGGCGCGUGUGCUCUGCUCCAAAGAAACACAUCAAAUAAUGUAUUUGUAUUGAACAUGCAUUUAUUUUUGUAUAA
Molecule: long non-coding RNA, 3491 nt
Organism: Salvia splendens (bonfire salvia)
Lineage: Eukaryota; Viridiplantae; Streptophyta; Magnoliopsida; Lamiales; Lamiaceae
Exons: 2
Source: RefSeq, a predicted model, not a curated record